This 467-nucleotide ribosomal RNA is filed under the name uncultured bacterium. Its description in RNAcentral is "partial 16S ribosomal RNA". It matches the Rfam family "Bacterial small subunit ribosomal RNA", at positions 28 to 506 of the family's 1533-position model. The record is from RNAcentral.
GACGGACGCUGGCGGCGUGCUUAACACAUGCAAGUCGAACGGAAAGGCCCUGCUUUUGUGGGGUGCUCGAGUGGCGAACGGGUGAGUAACACGUGAGUAACCUGCCCUUGACUUUGGGAUAACUUCAGGAAACUGGGGCUAAUACCGGAUAGGAGCUCCUGCUGCAUGGUGGGGGUUGGAAAGUUUCGGCGGUUGGGGAUGGACUCGCGGCUUAUCAGCUUGUUGGUGGGGUAGUGGCUUACCAAGGCUUUGACGGGUAGCCGGCCUGAGAGGGUGGCCGGCCACAUGGGGACUGAGAUACGGCCCAGACGCCAACGGGAGGCAGCAGUGGGGAAUAUUGCACAAUGGGCGGAAGCCUGAAGCAGCAACGCCGCGUGCGGGAUGACGGCCUUCGGGUGGUAAACCGAUUUCGCCUGUGACGAAGCGUGAGUGACGGUAAUGGGUAAAGAAGCACCGGCUAACUACGG